This 951-nucleotide long non-coding RNA is filed under the name Brassica rapa (field mustard). RNAcentral's name for it is "long non-coding RNA (BRAP_LNC008049)". Lineage: Eukaryota; Viridiplantae; Streptophyta; Magnoliopsida; Brassicales; Brassicaceae. The record is from RNAcentral.
CGAAGUUUAUUUCAAUACGAUCUAGUCGCGGGACGUUUUUCAUAGGUUACGCUUAGACUGUGAUCUGGUUGUUUCCACGUUGACGACUUGGGAUAUGUCGGUUCCGAGGAAAUUGCCAGAAAUGAAUCGGUUUUAAGACGACGUUCAUGUCUCUAACUUUUUCUCUUUUUAGGAAGCGAGCUUGAUAUGCGUGGCGAUCGUUUCUCGAUUUUCGGAGAGUUUAGAUCGGUUUGCAAGAUCUGGAUGACCAAUUAUGGAACAAUAUAUCGAGACAGGAAAAAAUCACUUAAAACUUAGUUCGCUAGACUAUCCACCUAGGUUUUACGUUCCCUGAAGUUCUAUGGCAGCGUCAAAGUAAUUUCCUGCGAAAAUUCCAAGUCUGAUUUCAAAAAUUUCAAGUUGGAAAUACCUUAGUUGUCCCUUCUCAGUUUUGCGUGUUCAUUUCUGUUUCCUAUUCUCGUGUAUGUUCGCCAUUUCCGAUAUUGGUGUUUAUCCUUUGAAACUUGACAUUUAUCUUCCGAACUUGACUGUUAUCUUCUCCUUAGAUAAGACGUCGAUUUUUGUAAAAAGGUCCAAUGUAAUCGUAUAGUUAAGGCGGCUAAGGUGUUAAGUUAACCAUUGCCGUUUUAUACGAUUAAUCUGAAUCCAUGCGAGAAAAUAGGUCUUUGCGGUUUUUUUUUUUUUUAUAUCGUAAAGUCUCAAUGGUAACUUCAAUCGAGGCGAAACAAGAGACGUUUCGAUCGAGAUUCGAAAGUGAACGCAAAGAUGGAGGUAGGGUGAGCAGAAACAAGCCAAGGAGUUUAAGAUGAGGUUUACUUGUUUUUGUCGUAAAAUCUCAACGGAAACUCCGAUUGAGACGAAACAAAAAGCGUUUCGAUGAGAAUUCAAAGGAGAACGCAAAGGAGGACCCCUUUGAGGCCUGACAGGUCGCUAUAGCGAGUGAGGAUGUCA